This 465-nucleotide ribosomal RNA is filed under the name Vreelandella stevensii. RNAcentral describes it as "partial 16S ribosomal RNA". It matches the Rfam family "Bacterial small subunit ribosomal RNA", at positions 338 to 795 of the family's 1533-position model. Lineage: Bacteria; Pseudomonadati; Pseudomonadota; Gammaproteobacteria; Oceanospirillales; Halomonadaceae. The record is from RNAcentral.
CCUACGGGAGGCUGCAGUGGGGAAUAUUGGACAAUGGGGGGAACCCUGAUCCAGCCAUGCCGCGUGUGUGAAGAAGGCCCUCGGGUUGUAAAGCACUUUCAGUGAGGAAGAACGCCUGGUGGUUAAUACCCAUCAGGAAAGACAUCACUCACAGAAGAAGCACCGGCUAACUCCGUGCCAGCAGCCGCGGUAAUACGGAGGGUGCGAGCGUUAAUCGGAAUUACUGGGCGUAAAGCGCGCGCAGGUGGCUUGAUAAGCCGGUUGUGAAAGCCCCGGGCUCAACCUGGGAACGGCAUCCGGAACUGUCAAGCUAGAGUGCAGGAGAGGAAGGUAGAAUUCCCGGUGUAGCGGUGAAAUGCGUAGAGAUCGGGAGGAAUACCAGUGGCGAAGGCGGCCUUCUGGACUGACACUGACACUGAGGUGCGAAAGCGUGGGUAGCAAACAGGAUUAGAUACCCCUGUAGUC